Molecule: non-coding RNA, 81 nt
Organism: Podarcis lilfordi (Lilford's wall lizard)
Lineage: Eukaryota; Metazoa; Chordata; Lepidosauria; Squamata; Lacertidae
Source: the annotation of a GenBank genome assembly
ACACACACAUACACAUAUACACUUGCUUGCUUGCUUGAUAUCAUCAAGCAAGCAAGCAAGCGUCUAUGUGUAUGUGUGUGG